UAUGUCAUUUUCUUGCCAAUCACCGAUGAAAUCAACAAUUUCAAAGGGAGACUAACUUAGCCCUGGCAUUUCUAAAAUGAACAGUGACAGCAGUCGAGCAUCUGGCCAGAUCUGGAAAUAUGAUGUGUUUCUCAGCUUCAGGGAUGAGGACACGGGCCUCAAUUUUACCGAUCAUCUUUUGGCUGCUCUAAGAAGAAAGGGCAUAUUUACCUUCAUUGAUAGAGAGCAGACAUACACCAUAAAAGCAAUUGAGGAAUCCCAUAUUUCUAUCAUUAUCCUUUCCAAAAACUAUGCCAACUCACCAUGGUGUUUGGAGGAACUAGUAAAGAUCAUGGAGUGCCGAUGUUGUAAUGGGCAAACUGUUCUGCCAGUAUUUUAUGACGUGGAUCCAAGUGAUGUAAGAUAUCAAAGAUGGGUUUACAAGGAAGCCUUUGAAAAACAUGAAGAAAGGUUCAAAGACGAUUUAGCCAAGAUAUAGAGGUGGAGGCAGAGCUUGAGGCAAGCAGCCAGUAUGACUGGUUGGAUACCGAGGGAUCGGUCAGAGGCAGAUGUCAUUGAUAGCAUAGUUAAAAGGACCAUAAACAUAUUGAGUCAUAAAUCCUUAAGUGUGGCAGAUGACCUAGUUGGGAUUCAAUCCCGAUUAGAGGGAUUCAACUGCCUUCUGGGUUUAAGAUCUGAUGCUGUUCGAGUUGUAGGCAUUUGUGGGAUGCAUGGAAUAGGCAAGAUGGCUCUUGUUUUAGUCAUGUAUCAUAAAAUCUUUGACCAAUUCGAAGCCUGUUGUUUCCUUCCCAACGUAAGUUAAUUUUCCAGAAGUGAUGGUCUAACCGCUCUACAAGAGCAAUUUCUUCGUGCGACACUCAAGUGGAAAGAAGUAGAGAUAUGCAGUGUUUACGAGGGAUGUGAUUAGAUACAGAGGACGCUAAAUGAUUGCAAGACUCUCUUGAUUCUUGAUAACGUUGAUGACUUGGAACAAUUAAAAAUUUUGGCUGGAAAGUGUACAUGGUUCAGGGAAGGGAGUCUAGUCAUUAUAAUAACAAGAGACGAGCAUAUCUUUAAAAGGUUUGAAGUGGAUGGAAUUAUUAAAUAAGGACGAGGCUCUUCAACUUUUUUGCAAGUGUGCCUUCAGAUGUGAUUCCCCCUUAGAAGGUUAUGAGGAGCUGACUAAUAAUAUAUUGGAAUAUGCCAAAGGUCUCCCGUUAGCAGUUAAAUCAUUGGGGUCAUUCCUGGUUGACCGAAGUGUCUCAGAAUGGAAGAGUGUAUUGGCUAAAUUGCAAUUAGUUCCUAAACAUUCCAUAAUGAAGGUGCUCAGAUAAAGUUUUGAUGGAUUUCCCCAUGACAUUGAAGAGGGAAUUUUCUUGGAUAUUGCACGUUUUCUUGUUGGGGAGAAGAUUAAUUAUUUAAAAGAAAUUCCAAGGCAUCAUCAAUACUAUCCCAUGUUUGGGAACAAAAUUUUAAUUGACAAAUCACUCCUGACCAUAUCAGAUCAGAAAAUUCACAUGAAAGAUAUGCCGGGAGAAAUUUUUCGGUAAGAAACCAUUGAAGAUCGAGGACGGAGAAGUAGGUUGUGGUUUUAUGACGAUUUUCGUCACUCGAUGGAAACAAACAAAGUAACUGCAAAUACUGAAGCUGUUAUCUUGAACCAGGAAGAUGCAGAAGCGGUUCCAUUGAAUGCUAGUUUGUUUUCGAAAAUGAUCAACCUGAAAUUGCUCAUAAUUUGAAAUGUGAAUUUUGUUAGUACUCUUGAAUAUUUUCGGAUGAGUUAGUUUACCUUUCUUGGCAUAAAUAUCCUUUCACUCAUAUACCAUCAAAUUUUGAACCAUAUCAACUGGUAGAAUUGAUCAUGACUGAUAGCAACAUCACGCAACUGUGGGAAGGAAUGAAGAUGCUCCCGAAACUAAGAAGCAUGAGCUUCCGUGGUUCUAAAAAUCUAAUUAAGACGCCGGACUUUCGGGGAAUAUUAAAUCUGGAGAUGUUAGAUCUUGAAGAAUGUACGGGAUUAUUGCAAGUUGAUCCAUCUAUUGAAAUUCUUUCAAAGCUCGCAUUCUUAAAUUUGAAGAAUUGCGCAAGUCUUGUCAGCAUCCCAAACAAUUUAGCUAGAAUGAGUUCUCUAAAAACCCUGAAGUUGGAUGGCUGCUCAACGCAAGUGAAACUACUUAGCAAUCAACAUUGCCCAUUCUUCGUGAAAAUGUUCUGUUAUCUCAUCAUAUCAUUCCUGAUAUUCAUAAAGAAUAAUAAGUUGGUAUUUUGUAGUCUUAUUUGCUGUAUUUACUGCAUUUUCCUCAGUAUGUAAGGUAAUAUACGUUUUUGAGGACCUGUAUCCUUUAUCAGAGCAUUAUUGUAGCUA
Long non-coding RNA from Prosopis cineraria, 2344 nucleotides. RefSeq lists it as uncharacterized. The transcript is spliced from 4 exons. The record is from RefSeq and is a predicted model, not a curated record. NCBI's taxonomy places the organism in Eukaryota, Viridiplantae, Streptophyta, Magnoliopsida, Fabales, Fabaceae.